Molecule: long non-coding RNA, 3980 nt
Organism: Pleuronectes platessa (European plaice)
Lineage: Eukaryota; Metazoa; Chordata; Actinopteri; Pleuronectiformes; Pleuronectidae
Exons: 2
Source: RefSeq, a predicted model, not a curated record
ACACACACACACACACACACACACACACAGCACCACGGAGGAGAGACCGUGUGGUUUGUCAUAUGGCCUGACUUGAGGGGUUAAAGACGCCAAUGUGAAUAAUGGGGCAACUUCCAGAGAACACGUCAGACACAUCACUAGUGUGUGGAGGCUGGACGGGGACAUGUUGCUGCUAUCAACUUGUACAUGAGCUCAAACGUGACGAGGCGAAAUGAGCUGCCCUGUGCUCCACCAACUCACCUGCAGCUCCUCCCGUCGGUCCUGGCUCUACCUCAAUGCAGAUGUGACUGUGGAUCCAAGUGGAGGCGGCUAGCUAACGCUGCGCUAGCACCGUCCCCCUGCGGCAGCUAACAGACACCAGCAGCAGCAUCGCGUUAGCAGCCGAGCCCUCUGCUCAGAAAACGCAUUUUUAUUACCUUGACGCAGAUUUCAUAUCAGUAUCGUCCUGUUUGUCAGGCGGACAAACGCUCCCGCACACCGACGCGUCUGCGUGAGUCUCGCGAAACCUGUAAAUGGGGGCGGGGAGGGGGGCGGCGGUUAAACGGGAGUUGGCGAAAAGGACUUCAUCUCCCGGCGAGCAUCCAGCCGCCAUGACCGCGGAGAGGGACGUGAGCGCUGGCGCAAUGCACACCGGGAGUUGGUGUUUUGGUGACGAUGGUGUGGACUUUAAACGGGGGGGGGGGGGGGGUAAACGUCAGCUGUUUGAGACAACACGCUGCUCACCAACAUGUCAGGAGCUGCAGCACAAAGCGCUGCAUCAGAACCUGGGGGUCAGGAUUCCUCCCGAGGCGGCUCCACAUCUACCCUCUGCGGACAGGAAGCACGGGACAGCUGCUGAAGUUGUAAACAGGAUCAUUCAAUGUCACCUUGUGCCCGGGAGUCGAGACUUCGUUACCACUACAGCAGAGGGGACAUGUCCCGAUCACAGACAAGAAGAAGACAGACGGGUGGAGAAAGUACUCAAACGUCUUUCUCAAGCAAACGUACUAAUAAACAGACACGAAUCUGACUAAGUUAAAGCAAAAAUACGUUUUCUACUUGACCAAAAGUAAGUAAGUACUUGGUUUUAAUAUAUUUAAAAAAGUAUUAAAAGUAAUUGUAGAGAGUAGCCUAUUCCCCUAUGCAAUGGUCUACUUGGUUGGCACCUAGAUUAAUCUAUUACAUCUUUAACUGUAUACCGGUUUUCUGUUUAAGACAACAAUGGUAUUGACUCUGUCAUACUAACAAAGAAUGUUGCGGAUGUUUCUACUGAGAAUUUUCACAUUGUCAUAUUAUUUUAGCUGCUGUUCUGGUUGGAUCAAUGGAGAAAUGAAUUGAACUUAAAUGCGAUUUUAGUUUUGAAAUGUAAGCAAGUCGAAAGUGCAGAUACUUGCUGAUAUAUUUAGUAAAGUAAAUGUGAGAAGUACCUGAAGAUAAAUCAACUAAACACAGAUACAUAAAGUAAAUGUACUUAUGUUACAUCCCACCACAAUUCAAAAGACGUUCUUGAGUAAGAGUCACAUAAGUAAAAUUUGAGCCCUUAAAAAAUAAAUGAUUAAAUCGAAAAGCAAUGCUCAAUUAAAUUAAUCCAAUGGUGGAACUAAUAAAACAAAUGUUAAAAUAAAUCAAUCUCAGCAUGUAGAAUAUAUGGAUGACUAGCUGCGGUGCUAGUGCAUUAUACAAAAUAUUGCUACCUCUGACAAACAGUUUAUGUUUUCAUCUGCAUCAGGCUGUGGAUCCAGUUCAUUUAUAUAUAAGGUUGUGUUUUUCAACAUUAAAGUUGAUUUCUGAGAUCAUUAUUAUGGAUCCUGAUGAGAAAAAUCAGUCAUGUUAAACUACUACUACAACUACUAAGACCUACGCUAAGACCUAAGCAUCUUUAAAAAGGCAAUUUUAGUUCAUUUUCAGGAGCGUUUAUGAAUGUGAACGUCUGCAUUUACUGAUGUUUUAUAGGCUGUCAGACCUGCUCCCAGCUGAUAACGAUCAAAUUAUCGACAUUAUCGACACUGAACAAAACUUUGACCCAUCAAACAUGCUUUUUCCAGAGCUGACACAGAUUUCAUGGCUUUAUUCAUCAUGUUAAUACAUAUUUCACAUUUUCAAAACAAUACAGAAAUGUGUGCAAUGUAAUUUACACAACACUUUCAAGCUAACUUUAUUUCUGUAUUGGUAUACUUUGAAAAUGUAUGAUGUAAAGAAUUUUGCCUGACCCAUUUCAAAACGAAAAGUGCCCACUGAAAAACAAAACCACAGCACUGCACAGAUGUUAAACGACGUAGCAACACACGUUUGCUUUGUCUUGAAGAAAUCAACCCCAUCAUCCACAACCGCAAAUUAUCAGUAAAUCUGAUUUGCUUAAUUGCUUUUUAACACUUCCCUAAUCCAGUCCCCGAAGAAGGGUACACUUGAGUAAACACCAGGUUUGGCAGGGUUUCCGCAUUGCUGCCCACCGAAGGACACCACGCCUGCUGCAGCUCCAUCACACACCAGAGGGCCACCUGAAUCCCCCUUGAAGAGAAAAGAUACAUGUCACUGAACAGGGCCUUGAAAACCUCUCGCUCCUACACUGCAAACCAUUGAUGUAGUGAUGCGAACCGAUCCCCAUCUCCUACGACAUGUCCGCAGUGACAGCGUGGUUACGUCGACUUCCUGAAGCGUGUUGGGUUUGGUUCCGUCAUUCGCUAUGUCCCCCCAGCCGGUUGUGAGGCAGCGACUUCCUGACGCCACCCUGCUCGUUUUCAGAGAGAUCAACUGCACUGCUGCAGUCAGUUGUGCACUGCUGUCGAGCUGAGAUGAGUGGAUUGAUGAAUGAGAAAUACAGAAAAUGUAUCAGGUCAGCUGGAUUUUGUGCAAGCUAGAGACAAUAAUGAAAAUGUGAAAGUGCUGUAGACAACGGUUGAAACCGUUCUCACCUUUAGGAGCAUGAUGUCAUUUUCAUGCCUAUCAUACCCAGGAUGGGGAAUGGCUCUGACAGUCCUGAAUUCCUGCUUUGUACUCUCGUUAGCUGACAGGGAAUUCACGCCGAGCACGACUGUGUAAGGUCUAGAAAUCAAGAUUUAAUGAAGACCAGACAUUAGAUAUGAUGUCAUGGCUGCAAAUACACAGAAAUCCUUUUCCACAUUGGUCUGUGUUUAGAGGUUUGAUGCUGAGAAUGAACACUGACUAACUAGAUUAACUUUGAGCUUCAGAUGGUUAUUUUUUUUUAUCAUUUAUUAAACCUUUCUCAGAGGUUCUUGAGGACAACCCCUUGUCAUGUGUGAUUAAAUGUAGAUAUAAGGUUCAAAGUUCUUAACUUGUCCUUUACCUCCAUAAGAAGGAUAUGUUUGGACUACGCGUCAGUGGACAUGUUGAGACAUUCUAACGUUGGGUUAGAAGACCAGAGAUAAAGAUUGGGGUCUCGAUCUACUGUGUUUUAUCUAAUCUUGCCUCAGACAUAUGACACACGUGGUCUGUCAGAGAGUGUGGAAGAGUCUUUCUGUUCUCAGCUGACAGCAUUUUUGCUUCCCCUCGACUUAAAAAAACUUUAAAUUGUGGUUCUAAUAUAUUAGUGUUCAGUGCUUCAACAGGAAUUCCACAACAUACUAACUUCAGUGCAAGUCUGAAUAUGCACAGUUUUUGCAUGACAUCAUCAACAGUCAGUAUAUACCCUGUCUCUGUCUUUAUACAGUAUUUAUUAUUCAUUUCAUUCCAGUAUAGUCCAGACAAGCCACCACUAUAAUCAUAUAUGAAUUUAAUACUGUAUUAUAAAUACAAUGAUAACUAAAUAGAAUAUAAUUAUAUUCAAAUAUUUUUGUACUGUUCUUAUCCUAACCUAGUUUUUAGUUGUCCUGAUCCCUCACUGUAAUAAGUGCACUGAGAGCAAUUUAAUACUAGAGUCAAUAUCAUUAUUUUGCAGAUCUGAUUGUGAUGCUUUGUUUUCUCCGAGAAUCUCAAAUUCAGACAGAGAUUGUCAUUAUGAAGUUGUGGAAUAUACGUCACUUUAAAAUGAUUCAAAAUCCGAA